RNAcentral lists this ribosomal RNA (253 nucleotides) under uncultured bacterium. Its description in RNAcentral is "partial 16S ribosomal RNA". It matches the Rfam family "Bacterial small subunit ribosomal RNA", at positions 524 to 776 of the family's 1533-position model. The record is from RNAcentral.
UACGUAGGCAGCGAGCGUUGUUCGGAUUCAUUGGGCGUAAAGGGUGCGUAGGUGGCGCCGUAAGUCGGGUGUGAAAUUUCGGAGCUUAACUCCGAAACUGCAUUCGAUACUGCGGUGCUUGAGGACUGGAGAGGAGACUGGAAUUCAUGGUGUAGCAGUGAAAUGCGUAGAGAUCAUGAGGAAGACCAGUGGCGAAGGCGGGUCUCUGGACAGUUCCUGACACUGAGGCACGAAGGCCAGGGGAGCAAACGGG